GAUGAAGAACGCAGCGAAAUGCGACAAGUAAUGUGAAUUGCAGAAUUCCGUGAAUCAUCGAAUCUUUGAACGCACAUUGCGCCCGCCAGCAUUCUGGCGGGCAUGCCUGUUCGAGCGUCAUUUCAACCCUCGAGCCCGACUUCCUUGCGGAGGACGGCUCGGCGUUGGGGGACGGCACACUCCCCCCGGCUCGCCGGGGACGCCGCCCCCGAAAUUCAGUGGCGGCCCUCGGAGGCGACCUCUGCGUAGUAACUCAACCUCGCAAAGGGAAGCUCCGAGCGGCCACGCCGUGAAACCCCAACUAUAUCAAGGUUGACCUCGAAUCAGGUAGGACUACCCGCUGAACUUAAGCAUAUCAAUAAGCGGAGGA
RNAcentral lists this unclassified non-coding RNA (370 nucleotides) under soil metagenome. RNAcentral's name for it is "partial contains 5.8S ribosomal RNA, internal transcribed spacer 2, and large subunit ribosomal RNA". The stretch from base 1 to 120 matches the Rfam family "5.8S ribosomal RNA", at positions 35 to 154 of the family's 154-position model. The record is from RNAcentral.